RNAcentral lists this ribosomal RNA (376 nucleotides) under uncultured organism. Its description in RNAcentral is "partial 16S ribosomal RNA". It matches the Rfam family "Bacterial small subunit ribosomal RNA", at positions 527 to 896 of the family's 1533-position model. The record is from RNAcentral.
GAACCGGACAAACGUUAUUCGGGAAUUAUUGGGGCUUAAAGGGUGCGUAGGCGGCGCGGUAAGUGAGGGUGUGAAAGCCCACGACUCAAUCGUGGGAACUGCGCUUCAUACUGCCGUGCUAGAGGGAGACAGAGGUAAGCGGAACUGAUGGUGGAGCGGUGAAAUGCGUUGAUAUUAUCAGGAACACCAGUGGCGAAAGCGGCUUACUGGGUCUCUUCUGACGCUGAGGCACGAAAGCUAGGGUAGCGAACGGGAUUAGAUACCCCGGUAGUCCUAGCUGUAAACGAUGAGCACUUGGUUGGGGAUCCUCCCAUAGGUUCCCGACCGUAGCGAAAGUGUUAAGUGCUCCGCCUGGGGAGUAUGGUCGCAAAGGCUG